This 502-nucleotide ribosomal RNA is filed under the name uncultured bacterium. RNAcentral describes it as "partial 16S ribosomal RNA". It matches the Rfam family "Bacterial small subunit ribosomal RNA", at positions 28 to 523 of the family's 1533-position model. The record is from RNAcentral.
GAUGAACGCUAGCGGCAGGCCUAACACAUGCAAGUCGAGGGGCAGCACAGAAACAGCAAUGUUUUGGUGGCGACCGGCGGACGGGUGCGUAACGCGUAUGCAACCUACCUUUAACAGGGGGAUAACGGAGAGAAAUUUCCACUAAUACCCCAUAACAUCGAUCAAGGCAUCUUGAUUGGUUGAAAACUCCGGUGGUUAAAGAUGGGCAUGCGUUGUAUUAGGUAGUUGGUGAGGUAAUGGCUCACCAAGCCUACGAUACAUAGGGGGACAGAGAGGUUAGCCCCCCACACUGGUACUGAGACACGGACCAGACUCCUACGGGAGGCAGCAGUGAGGAAUAUUGGUCAAUGGGGGCAACCCUGAACCAGCCAUGCCGCGUGCAGGAAGACGGCUCUACGAGUUGUAAACUGCUUUUAAACAGGGAUAAAGCACAGUAUGUAUACUGUGUUGAAGGUACUGUAAGAAUAAGGAUCGGCUAACUCCGUGCCAGCAGCCGCCGUAA